This is a non-coding RNA of Lasiosphaeria hispida, 106 nucleotides long. Lineage: Eukaryota; Fungi; Ascomycota; Sordariomycetes; Sordariales; Lasiosphaeriaceae. The record is from the annotation of a GenBank genome assembly.
GGUUAUGUGGCCGAGAGGUUAAGGCGCCACGUUAGGGUGAGAACCUUGAUACAAUCUCUGGAUCCUGUGGUCCGAAAGGGCGUGAGCUCGAAUCUCCCCGUUAUCA